RNAcentral lists this ribosomal RNA (301 nucleotides) under uncultured bacterium. RNAcentral's name for it is "partial 16S ribosomal RNA". It matches the Rfam family "Bacterial small subunit ribosomal RNA", at positions 509 to 809 of the family's 1533-position model. The record is from RNAcentral.
CAGUAGCCGCGGGAAAACGGAGGGUGCAAGCGUUAAUCGGAAUUACUGGGCGUAAAGCGCACGCAGGCGGUCUGACAAGUCAGAUGUGAAAUCCCCGGGCUUAACCUGGGAACUGCAUUUGAAACUGUCAGGCUGGAGUCUUGUAGAGGGGGGUAGAAUUCCAGGUGUAGCGGUGAAAUGCGUAGAGAUCUGGAGGAAUACCGGUGGCGAAGGCGGCCCCCUGGACAAAGACUGACGCUCAGGUGCGAAAGCGUGGGGAGCAAACAGGAUUAGAUACCCCUGUAGUCCCUGUCUCUUAUAA